GUAACAACAAGGGCAGGGUAGAGUGACACACACACACACAUAUAUGUAAGCAAGCGCACGCACGCACACACGCACGCACGCACGCACGCACACACACACACACACACACACACACACACACACACACACACACACACAGAAAGCGUUAGCAGGGUUUGAGUGGCAGCUGAAGUUAGGGUUGAAUAAACAGUAGUCCUGAUAACCCCAGGAUUGACAAGGCCACCCCGAUUGUCUUAUCUCGUAACCAUAGACCGGGACUCUGGCCAAGGGCCAAUAGAAACAGGGAAGACAAGCUUGUGGCCCAAUCAGUGAAGAGAAAACAUCCUGUGAACGAUACAGAAAAAGAAGGGGAACCUAUCGGGGGCAGGGGUAGGAGGCAUAUGAGGUAAGGGAGGGUGCUGGAGGUACUGUCUGUCUGUCACAGUCUGCGUGUGCGCGUCUGUGCUUGCGUGAAUGUGUUAUUCAGAUGCGAUAUGUUGUGUAUAUAUGAUAGAGGGAACGUGUUCACUCUCAGACACCUCUGACACCGCUUGUUAUUGAGGUCGUGGAUGGCCGGGAGCUCGGCCCCAUGAUGUACUGGGCUGUCCGCACCACCCUUUGUAGAGAUUUGCGGUCAAGGGAGGUGCAUUUGCCAUACCAAGCGAUGAUGCAGAAAGUCAAGAUGCUCUCGGUGGUGCAGCUGUAGAACUUAUUGAGGAUCCGAUGGCCCAUGCCAAAUCUUUUCAGCCUCCUGAGAGGGAAAAGGACUCCACCUCGUCUCACACGUCUACGCCUGCGGCGUUUUGGUAUCCCAUGGAACAAAGGAAUAGGGCCCAUAUGAACAGUGGAACAGCUGAGUUGGAGUUGAAGUCGUAUUUGAUGUUGAAAUCGAGGGCUUCCAUUCCAUCAAUACCCUGGCUAAGUCUUGCUGAUGUUUCUACUACCUCCACCAACACCACCUCCUCAGAUGGCCUGUUCAAACACUGAUUAGCAGCAGAGGUACGUUACGUAAGGAGUUCAACAACACAGAUGAACAUUCCACCUCCUGAACGUCACUGACAGGCAGACUGUGUUUUCAGGGGAGAACGGGGUGAGAGGUCACACAGGAUUUCCUGGUUGGUAACAGUCGCAACUAGGCCUGGGAUGCAUCUCAAAUGGCACCCUACUCCUUAUUUAGUGCACUACUUUUGACCAGAGCCCUAUCCUUGGUCAAAAGUAGUGCACUAAAUAGCGAAUAGGGUGCCAUUUGGGAUGCGACCCUGAACACAAACAUGUUGAUGGAGAGGCAGGAGGGAGACAGGAAGGAAGGAAGAUAAAGACAGACAGGACGGCCCUGAAUGACGCAGCCAUGCCGCACCCCCAAAAUAAACCACUUUUAGCAUCAGUCACCACACCACACUGUAGUGCUUAUCCUAAGUGCUUGGCUUGUUGUGGUGAAUCAAGCCCUCUGAUUCACAGUGAUAACACAAACACACACACACAUGCGCGCAUGCGCACACACACGCACUCUCCACCAACAACCCGCUCACCUCUCCAAUCUCUCUAUCAAGUGGUGGCUGGCUGGGCACAUCACUUCUUACAGUAGAGCGGCAGAGGGGAAAUCAGCAACAAUAAGCAUCUACUACAGGUCUGAUUUAUCGAUACUUCCUGUUUCUCUCUGUUUUUCCCACAUUCCCCCGCAAGGACAGGAAGCAGGAAGUCAUCCUUUCAGAAAGUGGGAGACAGGGAGCUUCCUGUCUUUGUUGGGAGGUGGGGAGUCUGUCAGAGGGGGGAGAUAACACUCCAGGACAGAACAGAGUCAACAGGUGCGGCUCCCGUCCGUACUCGGUGGAGGUCUGGACGCUGCUGUUGUGUGGAAAGAUAAUUACCUUCAGGUUGUUCUCCCACCAUUCCUGGUUACCAUCAAGGGACUUGCCCAUGGCAGUCUUGAGGGUCUGGUUGGUCCAUUCACCAAACCUGGAGGAGGGGGUAGGAAAGCCAUAUCUAUUGACACUCUAAGAUAUUGAAAUAUGUCUGAUUAUGUACCAUGUAAAAACGUUUUUUUUUUUUUUAUAAAUAAAUAAAACAAAUGAUAGGUGACAUAAUAUAACCUAUAACAUCCGUACCUUGUUCCAGUGUUCAUGACCUCGGUCACUCAAGAUGACCUCAAGAGAACUGUGGGUGUUGCCUUCCCUGUGGCUCAGUUGGUAGAGCAUGGUGUUUGCAACGCCAGCAUGGUGUGUGCAAUGCCAGGGUUGUGGGUUCGAUUCCCAUGGGGGGGCCAGUACAAAAAACAAAUGCAUGAAAUGGAAUGUAUGCAUUCACUACUGUAAGUUGCUCUGGAUAAGAGCGUCUGCUAAAUGACUAAAAUGUAAAAAUGAAGAUGACCAUCAUCACCUUGGAGGUGACCUUGCCAGUUUAGUCCUUGAUGGGUAUCAUACAAAACAAAAAUGAUGUUGGGGUUCCAAGCACCCUUUUUAAAUGGGUUACAGAAGGGAAUUUAGAGUUAAGCACAUUCUCUUCCUUUGCUGACCUUAAUGGGUAUUGCCUCCACUCACUUGGUAAAAUGAUUGGUCGCUGUCAGACACCAGCUUUUGCCAUUCCUGGAUUUUGUGAAGGGUCCGAUGAGGUCCAACCCUAACAUUUAAAGUGUUAGAGAGAAUAUUAUUUUAUUCUUACCCGUAUCUGUGUCAUACAGUGUGCAAAUGUUCAUAUUUGUAAGGAUACUGACACACACACACACACAAAACACAUAUUCUAUAAUAUUGAACUCUGCUGUAGUCAAAUAAAGCAACCAUUACAAAACAAAUGAUCAGGGAACAUUUUUAAUUGGGACACUUACCGAUCAUGUGACAUGGGGAAACAACUUUGAUGGGAUUCAACUCCGGCGCCACAGUCUUCACCUUCUCAAACUUCUGGCAGGCUAGACAGGGUACUGAGCUUUAAACUUCUUCGGGAUCAGUGUCCCAUCCACGGGACGGUUGAGCUAACGUAGGCUAAUGUGAUUAGCAUGAGGUUGUAAGUAACAAGAACAUUUCCCAGGUCAUAGACAUAUCUGAUAUUGGCAGAAAGCUUCAAUUCUUGUUAAUCUAACUGCACUGUCCAAUUUACAUGAGCUAUUACAGUGAAAUAAUACCAUGCUAUUGUUUGAGGAGAGUGCACAAUUUUGAACAUAAAAAGUUAUUAAUAAACAAAUUAGGCACAUUUGGGUGGUCUUGACACAACAUUUUGAACAGAAAUGCAAUGGUUCACUGAAUCAGCCUAAAACUUUGCACAUACCCUGACACCAUCUAGUGGCCAAAAUCUAAAUUGCACCUGGGCUGGAAUAAUACAUUAUGGCCUUUCUCUUGCAUUUUAAAGAUAAUGGUACAAAAAAAGUACAAAAGAAUGGUUGGUUUUUCUUUGUAUUAUCUUUUAGCAGAUCUAUUGUGUUAUAUUAUCCUACAUUCCUUUCACAUUUCCACAAACUUCAAAGUGUUUCCUUUCAAAUGGUACCAAUAAUAUUAAUAUCCUUGCUUCAGGGCCUGAGCUACAGGCAGUUAGAUUUGGGUAUGUCAUUUUAAGCAAAAAGUGACAAAUUAAAACUUUGGUUGUUCUCUGAUAUGACAUUCAUUGAAAUCAUAAUAGUUUCAGAAAUAAUAGAAUGUGAUUGAUAAACAAAAGACUCUCUCACUUGCCCAGCUGUCCACCUCCUUGACAUUUCCCCAUCAGAAGAUGCGUAGGUUGAUUUUGGCAAAGCUGCGCUUUACUCCGAAAUGGCCAGCAUGCAUCUCGGUCAGCACGGCCUCCUUCUCCUCCUUAGUAAAAAUCACCCUCCUGUGUGGCUGCCAAUCCUUCCCCCGUAGGUACAUGCGAUUGCCUAACAAGUUGGAAGAGACGAGUACAUUUGCACUGCUGUCUUUCUUUCUCUGUUUCUCGCUUUCCAUCUCUCUCUGUCUUCCACUCUUCCCACAUCUCUUUCUCCCUCUCUCACUUCAUCCUUUCUUUCUUACAUUCUUCCUCUCUCUCCACCCCCCUCUCUCUCUCUGUGCUUGUCUAGCAAAGUUACCUAGUUAAGGGCAUUUGGAAUUACCAUAAUUGCUUACACCUAUCCAUUUGAUUGAUCAGGUUUAACUUAUAGCUAGAUACCUCAAUAU
This 4094-nucleotide transfer RNA is filed under the name Salmo salar (Atlantic salmon). Its description in RNAcentral is "lncRNA (ENSSSAG00000105471.1)". The stretch from base 2275 to 2328 matches the Rfam family "UnaL2 LINE 3' element". Lineage: Eukaryota; Metazoa; Chordata; Actinopteri; Salmoniformes; Salmonidae. The record is from RNAcentral.